GUUCACGGCCAUACCACGUUGAAAGCACGCCAUCCCCUCCGCUCUGGCAAAUCAAGCAACAAUUGGCCUGGUUAGUACUUGGAUCGGAGACGGCUUGGGAAUCCCAGGUGUCGUGAAUU
This 119-nucleotide ribosomal RNA is filed under the name Haemonchus placei. Lineage: Eukaryota; Metazoa; Nematoda; Chromadorea; Rhabditida; Trichostrongylidae. The record is from RNAcentral.